UGACACCAGCAUAUUACACGAAGCCGAGA
RNAcentral lists this non-coding RNA (29 nucleotides) under Homo sapiens (human). The record is from RNAcentral. Lineage: Eukaryota; Metazoa; Chordata; Mammalia; Primates; Hominidae.